AUACUAGCAAUUCCGUCGGAUCAUGUGGCCUGAAACUGCUGUAAAUUUUCCCAAAAUGUCGUACCUCGCUGCAUGUGUCGGCUGUACGUUUCGUCAAAUGCAGAAAAACUAAAGAACAAUAAAAGGGAUUACGUUGAUCAUGGCCAUGAUGUUGAUCAACUUCUAACGGUUCCUUCAGUAGCCAUGAAGAUGGAUUGUGGUCGAGUUUUGUUUACUGUGAAUUGUGAUGAAUGACUUCAUUAGUCAUUAGUGGCCUAUCGAAUGAUGGCAUUAGUUAUAUUUCAGUUAAAUUUUCUAAAAGUAGAAGGUGUUCCUUUUUCAUUGAUUGAGAUUUGGAUGACAGUCCAAUGGAAGCCAAGGGAAGAUUCCACUCCUGCCUUAUCUGUGAUCCAGUGUAAUGAGGGCUGGUGGCAAGUCAUCUUCCGAACUUUCCCAGUGCGGAUGGACGGUCCGCCGUUCGAGCCAAUCGUCACGAUUUAAAACGGAGACAAGAAGCGAGUAAGUGUGAUUUUAUUUCAUUUUAAGAAUUUUCAAUAUUUCUUGACAGUUGAGGGCUAACAGCUGUAUAAUGAUUCGUUGUAAAGGAAGUAAGGAAAUUUGGGCUUUUAUGGGUACAUGAUGAUUUCGAUCCAGUGGGUCGGCGUCGACUAUUGUGUCCGUGGACACAUGGCGCAGUGUUAACAGUACUUGCUAUGAUUGCUAAAUGUAGUGAGGGGUUUUCAGUAAUGACACCUUGGCAAAAAGCUGAGUUUAGUUUUUAAGUGACGUAAAAUAUUUUUCAUUUUUAUUACUCUAUUACUAUUGAAACAUGAACGCAUUUAUUAUUUAUCAAAGAACCAGUUCCGUUUCCAACAAUGUGUAUUCGCAAUGAAUAUACUUGCCGCUAAAAAUGAUAAUGAAUUAAAAGCAGGAAUUGGUGGCCAAUGCUGUUAGGUGUGUAUCC
Long non-coding RNA from Daphnia pulicaria, 943 nucleotides. RefSeq lists it as uncharacterized. The transcript is spliced from 2 exons. NCBI's taxonomy places the organism in Eukaryota, Metazoa, Arthropoda, Branchiopoda, Diplostraca, Daphniidae. The record is from RefSeq and is a predicted model, not a curated record.